GUCCUAGCGUCGGCUGGACAUAUACUAAAAUUGUAACGAUACAGAGAAGAUUAGCAUGGCCCCUGCGCAAGGAUAUAUUAAACAUUAUGGUAUAUUCUUUAAAGUUAU
This 108-nucleotide small nuclear RNA is filed under the name Anopheles maculatus. The record is from RNAcentral. Lineage: Eukaryota; Metazoa; Arthropoda; Insecta; Diptera; Culicidae.